UACAGAGGGUGCAAGCGUUGUUCGGAAUUACUGGGCGUAAAGGGCUCGUAGGCGGCCAACUAAGUCCGACGUGAAAUCCCAAGGCUUAACCUUGGAACUGCGUCGGAUACUGGUUGGCUUGAAUUCGGGAGAGGGAUGCAGAAUUCCAGGUGUAGCGGUGAAAUGCGUAGAUAUCUGGAGGAAUACCGGUGGCGAAGGCGGCAUCCUGGACCGACAUUGACGCUGAUGAGCGAAAGCUAGGGGAGCAAACGGG
Molecule: ribosomal RNA, 253 nt
Filed under: uncultured bacterium
Lineage: Bacteria
Description: partial 16S ribosomal RNA
Rfam family: Bacterial small subunit ribosomal RNA
Source: RNAcentral